This 392-nucleotide ribosomal RNA is filed under the name Chrysanthia viridissima. Its description in RNAcentral is "partial 16S ribosomal RNA". Lineage: Eukaryota; Metazoa; Arthropoda; Insecta; Coleoptera; Oedemeridae. The record is from RNAcentral.
UUUAAAGUCUGACCUGCCCAAUGAAAUUUUAAAUGGCCGCAGUAUUUUGACUGUGCAAAGGUAGCAUAAUCAUUUGUUUUUUAAUUGAAAGCUGGAAUGAAUGGUUUGAUAAAAAAAAUUCUGUCUCAAUUUUAAUUUUAUAAUUUUAUUUUUAAGUAAAAAAGCUUAAAUUUUUUAAAAAGACGAGAAGACCCUAUAGAGUUUUAUAAUUAUUAAAUUAAUUUUUAUUUGGAUUUAAUUUUAAUAUUAUUUUUAUUUUAUUUUGUUGGGGUGAUGUAAAAAUUUAAUUAACUUUUUAUUUAUUUUAUCAUUGAUGUAUGGUUUUUUGAUCCUAGAUUUUAGAUUAUAAGAUAAAAUUACCUUAGGGAUAACAGCGUAAUUUUUUUUGAGAG